Non-coding RNA from Triticum aestivum (bread wheat), 115 nucleotides. Lineage: Eukaryota; Viridiplantae; Streptophyta; Magnoliopsida; Poales; Poaceae. The record is from Rfam.
CUUGUACUACCUCCGUCCGAAAAUACUUGUCAUUGAAAUGGAUGUAUCUAGAUGUAUUUUAGUUCUAGACACAUCCAUUUUGAUGACAAGUAAUUCCGGACGGAGGGAGUACUUG